UUAGAGAAAGAGUGAGAGAGAGAGUUCUUCCCUUAGAAGUUCUCUUCCGCGAGUUGUUAGCGAAGUGCCGCCGUAGGAGCUAUUCGCGUCAAGUCCUUGCUAGGAGUCCGAGUAGAUUGUGUUCUUCUCAGCCAAGCCAGGUAACCUUAGUGGGAAAAGCCUUAGAGGGGAGCAAAGGACGUUAGGCCAGCCGGUGUAGACCUUGUCCGGGCCAACACAACGCACCAGGCCG
Camelina sativa (false flax) is the source of this 232-nucleotide long non-coding RNA. RefSeq lists it as uncharacterized. NCBI's taxonomy places the organism in Eukaryota, Viridiplantae, Streptophyta, Magnoliopsida, Brassicales, Brassicaceae. The record is from RefSeq and is a predicted model, not a curated record.